GUGCUUGCUUCGGCAGUACAUAUACUAAAAUUGGAACAAUACAGAGAAGAUUAGCAUAGCCCCUAUGCACGGAUGACAUGCAAAUAUGUGAAGCAUUCCAUAUUUUU
Molecule: small nuclear RNA, 107 nt
Organism: Nycticebus coucang (slow loris)
Lineage: Eukaryota; Metazoa; Chordata; Mammalia; Primates; Lorisidae
Source: RefSeq, a predicted model, not a curated record